Molecule: ribosomal RNA, 372 nt
Filed under: uncultured organism
Description: bacterial SSU rRNA
Rfam family: Bacterial small subunit ribosomal RNA
Source: RNAcentral
CGUAGGAGACGAGCGUUAUCCGGAUUUACUGGGCGUAAAGCGUGUGCAGGCGGUUCGGCAAGUUGGAUGUGAAAUCUCCCGGCUCAACUGGGAGGGGUCGUUCAAAACUACCGAACUUGAGGUCAUCAGAGGAAGGUGGAAUUCCGGGUGUAGUGGCGAAAUGCGUAGAUAUCCGGAGGAACACCAGUGGCGAAGGCGGCCUUCUGGGAUGAUCCUGACGCUCAGACACGAAAGCUAGGGGAGCGAACGGGAUUAGAGACCCCGGUAGUCCUAGCUGUAAACGAUGUAGACUUGGCGUCGGAGGGUUCAAAACCUUCGGUGUCGAAGCUAACGCGAUAAGUCUACCGCCUGGGGACUACGGCCGCAAGGUUA